Transfer RNA from Ipomoea nil (Japanese morning glory), 94 nucleotides. It matches the Rfam family "tRNA". Rfam says of the family: Transfer RNA (tRNA) molecules are approximately 80 nucleotides in length. Their secondary structure includes four short double-helical elements and three loops (D, anti-codon, and T loops). Further hydrogen bonds mediate the characteristic L-shaped molecular structure. tRNAs have two regions of fundamental functional importance: the anti-codon, which is responsible for specific mRNA codon recognition, and the 3' end, to which the tRNAs corresponding amino acid is attached (by aminoacyl-tRNA synthetases). tRNAs cope with the degeneracy of the genetic code in two manners: having more than one tRNA (with a specific anti-codon) for a particular amino acid; and 'wobble' base-pairing, i.e. permitting non-standard base-pairing at the 3rd anti-codon position. Lineage: Eukaryota; Viridiplantae; Streptophyta; Magnoliopsida; Solanales; Convolvulaceae. The record is from Rfam.
CCGACCUUAGCUCAGUUAGUAGAGCGGAGGACUGUAGUUUGAUUAAUCUAAAUUGGAAAUCCUUAGGUCGCUGGUUCGAAUCCGGCAGGUCGGA